GUUUGGUAUUUGAUUAAGGUUGCUAGGUUACAAAAGGUGUCUUUCUGUGGAUGGGUGUAUACUUCCCUGGGACUUAUUCUAAUUUGCCUCUGCUAAAGGCAGGCCUUUAGGGCCUAAGUUUCUCAGUGACAACUCUCCUUGAUUUGGAGAGUUGUUAGGAGGAAACUCCUCACUAAUGUGUCCUCUUCACUGACCAAAAAAAUAGUGAAGAGUCCAAUGUGGCUAAUAAGCCAUCAGAUGAAAACCUCAAAUCUUUAUAUUGAUCAGAUCAUGACCAGUUAAGGACAUUUUCUAGGAAGACUCUUGAAGAUAAUAAAGAGAAACACCAGGCAUGGUGGCAUAUGACUGUAAUCUCAGUGAUUCAGGAGACUAAGGCAGGAGGAUGACAAGGUCAGGACCAGCCUGGGCAAUUAGUGAGACCCUGUCUCAAAUUUUUAAAAGGGCUGUGGAGGUAGUUUGGUAGUAGAGGCAAGAACAAAGACUCAGUCUUCCAGAGGAGGGGCUGGUGCUUUCCACCCAGGGCACUUCUGAUGUGGGUGAGUUGAGUGGAGAACUUUUGAGUUUCUCAUCUGGGUUAGAGAUACAUGUGCUUAGGUUUUGUGUGUGUGUUCUGUGUGGUUUUUUUCGGGUUUGUGUGGUACUAGGGAUGGAAUCCAGGGGCACUCUACCACUGAGCUACAUCCCCAGUCCCUUUUAUUAACUUUUAGACAGGGUCUCUAAGUUGCUUAGGAUGUUCUCAAGUUUGUGAUCCUCCUACCUCAGCCUCCACAGUUGCUGGAAUUACAGGUGUCUGCCACCACACCUGAACAUGCACUCUGUGCUGAUGACUUUUGUACCACUAGCCCUAGCCCCGACCUUUCACAAAUUUCCGC
Molecule: long non-coding RNA, 872 nt
Filed under: Marmota monax (woodchuck)
Lineage: Eukaryota; Metazoa; Chordata; Mammalia; Rodentia; Sciuridae
Source: RNAcentral